CAUCUCUUCUAUUGGUAUACUCGGUCUAAGGAACUCUUGACAAACAGUACAACUGCAAUAAAUAUUCAUAGAAAUUAUAAUCCCUUUUCCUUUUGGAAAGAUGAGCAGAAGGCUGAAAACACACCAAACUGGGUUCAUGGAACAAUUUCUAAAAGGAGAGAAGAUUUAAGAUGGAGAAUAAAGUGGAAAGGGAAGGAAUACUGGCAUGCAGGAGUUAGCCACCGGUGAGAUUUUACCUUGAAGAGGACGUUCUGCCUCGAGUCUGAAAACAACAUCUGUCUUUAUGGGAAAAGCCAUGCCCUGCGCCAACCCUUCUGUGUCCUCUCAACCACAGGUAAUCAAAUUGUGCAUGAAGUAAUUUUAUAAUUUCAUUUUCAACUGGUGAGCACUAAAUUAUGCAUUAGAUCUGUACACAUGAGAGAAUAUAUUUGUUGUGGUAACAUCUGCUAAUAUGUGCUUAGUCUCAGAAAACCAUUAUAUCACGAUUCUUAACCUGGGCACAAAAACAAAAGGGUCUAGGCAUUUGACUACUGUAUUCUGGUUGUUCCUAUAUACCAGGGGACUUCAGGAUUCCUACAUAGAUAGGAUUUGUCAAGUAAGACACUCCUAAUGAUUCAAUCUUCCAUUUUGCUUCUAGAAAUCAUUUUUGUCUGAUGUGCUAUUUGGUCUUACAUAUAACCACACUGGGCAGAACCUUUGAGAAAAGAGUUUGAAAAUUGUCAAGGGCUGUAUGCAGAAUCUACCAUAUGUGAUUUGCACUGUUCCCCUGGUAGCUUCUAUUUUUUAUGAUGCUAACUUCCAUGGUGGUGGAGACAACCAUAUUUUUUCAUGUCCCCAAGUGCUUUCCCUGACUAAUCCAUAUCCCUGGUUUCAGUGCCCAUUUAUUCUCUACAACCUAAUAUCUAUGAACUCAUCUGUUCCUUGCAAAACCUUCAUGUGGCCCCUCUCCUCACUCAGGUUGAGCUCAGUGCUUCUCCUGGAACCAGGAACUGUUCUCACAUCCCUACCCAUUCACUCACUCCUUUUCUCCCACCCUCUGCUCAACAUUGCACAUCUUGAAACUGAAAUGAUGCCUUUGAGUUAUGGACAAAAACGAGGUCUUCAAGGUUUUCUGCAGAAUUCAUUGAAUGAAAAGUGAAUGAAGCAAUCACGUAAGACAAUGAGAUGUGCCAGCCAACAUGGAGACUAAGAGGUAUGAGGAAAGGUAUGAGGCCAGUUGGCCCCGGCCAGUCUCACAUUCAAGAGGUUGACAGGGGUUUGUGUGUGUGUGUGUGUGUGUGUGUUUGCAUGGGGCAAAUGAUAUAAAGGAUGAAACCUUUAUACCAUAUAUACAUACUUUCAAUGUAGCAAGUAUGAAUAUCACUCUGCCAUUUUAUAGGUGUUACAUUUCUAUAAUUUAGAAAAAAUAAUCCUGCAUUUUCACUCUAAAAUGACAGAAAAUUCCAUGACAGUCAUAUUUGGCAGACUGAGUGUUCAUUCAAGGUACUCCAAUACCUGGGGUGCCAGAAGUUUGUGGGGUCCCUAUCAGCUACUCCAUCUGCUGUGGCUCACCAGGUUUCCAAAGCACUGGACAGAUUGCAUGACCCAGUCAGAACAGAGAUGCCCCUCAGGGUGGCCUCUCCUCUGCCACACAUGGGCCCGGAGGGAAGCACUGAAUUUCUCAAACACAUCUGGAAGACAUUUCUGACAGCCAAUUACACACCAAGGAGCACAGACCCUUCCAGAAACCCGCAGGAUUCCUGAGUCUACCCCUACUCCUGGCCUGAGGAAAAGAAACUUCUUUCUCAAUUAGGCAGCGUCUGUGUCUUCAGUUCCCGAGCCCUAACCUCCAUGCCCCUUCUCCAGGGAAUACAGUCUGGGCAACUUUUUGUUUUGAAUGUCAUGGGUCAGCAAAGGAGCUGGAGACACCACUUACUGGUUUCUUAAUAACUCACUUUAUUAUGCAGUUCUUCAGAAGUACUGUGUCCCCCCUGCUCUCCACGCCCCCCUCCCCAAUCUACUGGUGGCCCUGAGCUUCCCUGAUGUCCCAGCCCUUGUUCACUCAGCAGCACAAGGACACAGGGUCUUGGCAAUUGUCCUAGGUUUCUUCAUCCUGUUCAUGACUCCAAAAACAACACGUUUCUCACUCAAAAACAAGCUGGAGGUUUCUGUUGAGACUUCAAAUAUUUUCCCAGAGUCUGCUGUAAAAAUAAUAAGGUUACAUUUUAAUUUUAAAUGAUUUAUCCAUGUGAGUUCUUGUGUCAAGACCCUGCUAUAGUUUUGUUUAUCGUACAAAGAAAAUCAAGUCUGCUUCUAAAAAAAAUAUUUUCCAAAAUAUAAAACAAAUGAGCAUCCUGCUUCAGAAUGAAAUCUCAGGAAGAGUCUACAUUUGUUAUAUAGAAGACUCCAGACAAAUAUUUAUAACUCCUGCCCACAAUUUGUUUGGCAAUUUGCAUGGUUUCGAUAAUCAUUCACGAUAGUAUUGUUACUCAGGACUUAGCAUUCAUGUCUUCUUCCAAAUAUUUUAUUUUGGGGUUAUAAAUGAACUUUCCGUUUCCAGAGAUGUAUUGGACAAGGGUAGUCAUGGUAGCCCUCUCUGUGUUAUGCUGUAACCUGAAUUCAUUUUGGAAAGAGUAGGAAAUUCCUUAGAGGGGUUUGGGAAGAAAAAAUAUUUUAAUGAUCCAACCCCAUAAUAUUUAUAUCCUCUUACAAAUAGUUGUAAUUAGGUCCCAUUUGUAACUAACAAAACUAAAAAAUCUGCCUCCCUCCUACCAGUAGGACUCCAUUUUAAAAUAAACAUUAUACACGAAUGAUUAAUAUUGAAGACCAAAAAAAUUGCUUAUCUCACGAAUGCUCCUGCAUUCCUGCAGUGCCAUCCGGAAAAUUCCACCAGUGCCAACUGAGUUUGUGAGAACCUGUGAUGAAACCCAAAUAGGGACAAGAUGUGGUGUUUGCAUUUGAAAGAAUGAAAAAUUGUCUCUGAAGGAGAAAAUGCUGUGGGUGUAAAGAAAGGUGGAAACCAAGGAAGCCUUGGAGAGAGUUUUCACUGAGAUCUGAAGGAGCUGGCAGCAAAAAUCCUUCAGGGCUCUGCUGCAGAGCUGGCUGAGGUCCAGAGAGGAGGAGGGACUGCAAGGUAGAGGUCGCUGUGGGCCACAGACUUGUCCCCUGGGCAGAGUCUACAAGGAGUUUGAAGUGUUAGACUUUAUCUAUUUAAUUUUUGAAAAGAUUAUAUAUUCACAAGAUUCAAAAGCAUUAGAGGUCCUACCAGGUUUAUUAGGGAAAAAUCUCCUCAAUAUUCCUGCCUCCAGCUACUCAGUUUUCAAGCCUGGAGGCCACCGACAUUCCCAGCUGCUAUGUGUCCUCCAGAGCAAUUUCAAGCCACCAAGCAAAGAUAUAUUUUAUACAUAUGCAUCCUUUCUUUCUUUCUUUUUUUUCUUUUUUUUUUUUUUUUGCUGGUAGAGUCCACUCCCUAGAUUGAUCUGCCUUAUUUUCUUGCUGCCAUCUGGGAGGAAGCAUAUAGGCUAUGGAUUAGCCAUCCCUAACUUAUUCUGUGUCAAGAAACCUUUUGGCAUUUGGUGAAGCUUAGGAAUUUCUUCUCACACUAAUGUUUUAAAAUGUUGACAAUACAAUCCUCAAAGAAAGUCGGUUAUGCUGGAAUAUAGUCAUAAACAUAUUUGUAUUUAGAAAUAUAUGGACUUAUGUAUUAAUGAAUUAAAUAACAAGGUCUAUCAGUGAGCUUAAUUACAACUGUAAUUUUGGGGGAUUCAGAUGAGUAUAAAUGUUAUUUCACAAUCCUGGCCACACUUGUAAUGUGACAAAGUAUCUAUGAUUUGUAUAAUUGCAACAAUGUAAGGACUUAAGUCAUGAGUAAAGAUUAAUGAUACCGUUAAAAAAAAGUAUCUAUGAUUUUUGUUGGUAACAAAGACAGCUAUUGGCACUUUUGUGGUUUUCUGUCUGCCUCAUAAUUAGAGGAAGUUAUAAAUUUCAGCUAGAGACAAGAAACACUACUUUAUAUGUACAGUAUUUCACUACUUUAUAUGUACAGUAUUUCACUACUUUAUAUGUACAGUAUUUCCCAAACAUUCACACAUAUUUGUAGGGUAUAUUCUUAGAAGCGCUUUUAAUACCUUCAUAAUUAAAUGCCUGUUGUUAAACUGCCAGAAAUAUACAGUCAUUUCUGCUUUGAAUGAGGGUGUGUUAGUAAGUAGUUCAACCUUAGGCAAUCUGAGAAGUAAAAAAAGUUGUAUUUUGGUUUAGUUUUACUUUGCACUUAUCUCUUACCAGCACAUUUGAAAAUCCUUUUUUUUUUUUUUUUUUUGUAUUUAAGAACCCUUUUCUUAGCCAGGCAUGUUGAACAUACCUGUAAUCCCAGUGGCUCAGGAGGCCGAGGUAGGAGGAAUUCAAGUUGGAGGCCAGCUUCAGCAACUUAGAAAGGCCCACAGCAACUAGUCCCUGUCUCAAAAUAAAAAAUAAAAAGAGAAUUUGACUAUGUGGUUCAAUACCCAGUACAAAAAAAAAAAAAAAGAAAGAAAGAAAAGUUAGUGCCCUUUGUUCUUUGUCCUGUUGGUUCCUGGGCAGGUUCCUGGUGUGUUGCAAGCAGCAGUGGACACCAGUCCCUGAGACAGCAGUGUAAACAGCACCCCCUGGGGUUGCAGCAGAUGGUCCCAGUGAAGAUGUACAUUGUUCUUUGUUGUACUUUUCCAUCAGACUUCUGUUUCUUUGAACCACCUGAGUAGAUUAAAAUCAAAUAUGGAAUACAAAAUUCACUUGUCUUAUUUAGGUAACAAUAUUGUUU
Molecule: long non-coding RNA, 4774 nt
Filed under: Marmota monax (woodchuck)
Lineage: Eukaryota; Metazoa; Chordata; Mammalia; Rodentia; Sciuridae
Source: RNAcentral